This 93-nucleotide ribosomal RNA is filed under the name Paenibacillus pinisoli. RNAcentral describes it as "partial 16S ribosomal RNA". It matches the Rfam family "Bacterial small subunit ribosomal RNA", at positions 1 to 89 of the family's 1533-position model. Lineage: Bacteria; Bacillati; Bacillota; Bacilli; Caryophanales; Paenibacillaceae. The record is from RNAcentral.
UUUAUGGAGAGUUUGAUCCUGGCUCAGGACGAACGCUGGCGGCGUGCCUAAUACAUGCAAGUCGAGCGGAGCUGAUGAGGUGCUUGCACUCCU